Leopardus geoffroyi (Geoffroy's cat) is the source of this 1077-nucleotide long non-coding RNA. RefSeq lists it as uncharacterized. Lineage: Eukaryota; Metazoa; Chordata; Mammalia; Carnivora; Felidae. The transcript has 3 exons. The record is from RefSeq and is a predicted model, not a curated record.
CCACAAAGCAUUAUUUACCACCGUUAUAAAUAAAACAUUGGACUUGACUACUACCCAGUUUAGGAAAAACCAAGCCAUUCUCUGUAACUGACAUGUAAGGGGACCUUCUCUGGUUCCCAAGUAUGGAAUCGUCUUUCAGGAUGAUUGACAUAAGGUCAAUGGUGGGGGGGGGGGGGGAUCGAUGGAAAAGCACUAGGGGGAAGGCUGGGCCCAAGUUCAGAGGAUUCUCCCCUUUUUCCUUCACUUUUGUUUUAUCUACCCUCUAUUUUCAGACCCCACAUUGACCCUAGCAAGCUGGAGACACUCAUGUGUGCAGGCUUACUGGCUUUGGGCACAGACUUCCAGAGCUCCUGGGACAAGGUUGUCCGCAGAGAGAUGAUCACAGAGAGGCUGAGGGAGAACACAGGAAAAGCCUCGUGGAUCUCAAGGAAAACGAGCACGAUUUCCGGCUGCCCUUCUGCUUCCUUGGAAGCGAGGGACACUUAAACAUCCUAUUCCCCCACAGCAACAUGGCGGAGGCUUCAAGGGGACAACCCGACAUCAGAAGUCAAAAGGCAACCCCAAAAAGAUACCCAAGGAAUGAACGGCGGAGGGCAGUCCUGUCCACCACCUGCUUGUUAAACCCGUGAAGGAAAAGUCAACGUUGCCUUUUGUAAACUGCUGAUAGAAGAAACCCAAGUCAGAAGUAUCCUUGCGACAUGCCCACACCAGCCAGCCUCACUGAUGAAAGCAACCAACCCAAACAGGACCCGCAAACCACACAGGAGAUCCAUCCCUUAAAUGAAUUCGUCUCAGUGAUCGAUCUGAUCAUGUGAUUUUUUGAGACAGCUCUUCAGGGAGAUUUUAACUUCGGUUCGAACUGACCAAUAUAUUCCACGACUUGUAUCUACCAGGAACUUGGGGGGCAGAUUCUGAGCUACCAAGAGGAUUCUUAUCACUGGGAACAAAAUAAUUAACUGAAAAUGUAAUCAAUGGUACCAAAAAGGGGUCUCCCUCUCUAAAAUACACACCUAUCCUGACCACCUGCAGCACGUAUCACCAAUAAAUUGCCCAAUAAAUUGGCAUUCUGGAUGAUAA